RNAcentral lists this ribosomal RNA (1506 nucleotides) under metagenome. RNAcentral describes it as "bacterial LSU rRNA". It matches the Rfam family "Bacterial large subunit ribosomal RNA", at positions 1278 to 2912 of the family's 2925-position model. The record is from RNAcentral.
GAGAUCAGAAGCGAGAAUGUUGACAUGAGUAGCGACAAAGAGGGUGAGAGACCCUCUCGCCGAAAGUCCAAGGGUUCCUGCUUAAAGCUAAUCUGAGCAGGGUAAGCCGGCCCCUAAGGCGAGGCCGAAAGGCGUAGUCGAUGGGAACCAGGUUAAUAUUCCUGGGCCAGUGGGAAGUGACGGAUCUCGACGGUUGUCUGCCCUUAUCGGAUUGGGUGGGCUGCUUAGAGGUUCCUGGAAAUAGCCCCACAUCAGACCGUACCCUAAACCGACACAGGUGGACUGGUAGAGUAUACCAAGGCGCUUGAGGGAACCACGUUAAAGGAACUCGGCAAAAUGCCUCCGUAAGUUCGCGAGAAGGAGGCCCCAUCUGUAGGCAACUAUGGGUGGGGGGCACAAACUAGGGGGUGGCGACUGUUUACUUAAAACACAGGGCUGUGCGAAGCCGUAAGGCGACGUAUACAGUCUGACGCCUGCCCGGUGCUGGAAGGUUAAAAGGAGGGGUGCAAGCUCUGAAUUGAAGCCCCAGUAAACGGCGGCCGUAACGAUAACGGUCCUAAGGUAGCGAAAUUCCUUGUCGGGUAAGUUCCGACCUGCACGAAUGGCGUAACGAUCUCCCCGCUGUCUCUAACGUGGACUCAGCGAAAUUGAACUGUGUGUCAAGAUGCACACUACCCGCGGUUAGACGGAAAGACCCCAUGCACCUUUACUCCAGCUUUGCACUGGCAUCAGGAUUGUGAUGUGCAGGAUAGGUGGUAGGCAUUGAAGCGGGGACGCCAGUCUUCGUGGAGCCUCCCUUGAGAUACCACCCUUCGCACUCUUGAUGUCUAACCGCGGUCCGUUAUCCGGAUCCGGGACCCUGCAUGGUGGGGAGUUUGACUGGGGCGGUCGCCUCCCAAACAGUAACGGAGGCGCGCGAAGGUAGGCUCAGACCGGUCGGAAAUCGGUCGUUGAGUGCAAUGGCAGAAGCCUGCCUGACUGCAAGACUGGCAAGUCGAGCAGAGACGAAAGUCGGUCAUAGUGAUCCGGUGGUCCCAAGUGGGAGGGCCAUCGCUCAACGGAUAAAAGGUACGCUGGGGAUAACAGGCUGAUGAUGCCCAAGAGUCCAUAUCGACGGCAUCGUUUGGCACCUCGAUGUCGGCUCAUCUCAUCCUGGGGCUGGAGCAGGUCCCAAGGGUAUGGCUGUUCGCCAUUUAAAGAGGUACGUGAGCUGGGUUUAGAACGUCGUGAGACAGUUCGGUCCCUAUCUGCCGUGGGUGUAGGAGACUUGAGAAGAGUUGCCCCUAGUACGAGAGGACCGGGGUGAACGAACCACUGGCGGACCAGUUAUCGUGCCAACGGUAGUGCUGGGUAGCUAUGUUCGGACAGGAUAACCGCUGAAGGCAUCUAAGCGGGAAGCCCCCUUCAAAACAAGGUCUCCCUUGAGGGCCGUGGAAGACCACCACGUCGAUAGGCCAGAGGUGUAAGUGCAGCAAUGCAUUCAGCUGACCGGUACUAAUUGCCUGA